RNAcentral lists this ribosomal RNA (254 nucleotides) under uncultured bacterium. RNAcentral's name for it is "partial 16S ribosomal RNA". It matches the Rfam family "Bacterial small subunit ribosomal RNA", at positions 524 to 776 of the family's 1533-position model. The record is from RNAcentral.
UACGUAGGGGGCAAGCGUUGUCCGGAAUCAUUGGGCGUAAAGAGCGCGUAGGCGGCCCUGUAAGUCCGCUGUGAAAGUCAAGGGCUCAACCCUUGAAUGCCGGUGGAUACUGCAGGGCUAGAGUCCGGAAGAGGCGAGUGGAAUUCCUGGUGUAGCGGUGAAAUGCGCAGAUAUCAGGAGGAACACCGAUGGCGAAGGCGACUACCCUGGCCUGUUCUUGACGCUGAGGCGCGAAAGCUAGGGGAGCAAACGGG